UGCAGUCGAGCGGAACGAUCCUAGCUUGCUAGGAGGCGUCGAGCGGCGGACGGGUGAGCAACGCGUAGGAACUUACCCAGUAGUUGGGGAUAGCCCGGAGAAAUCCGGAUUAAUACCGAAUAAUCUCUAAGGAGGAAAGUGGGCUUCGGCUCACGCUACUGGAUGGGCCUGCGUAAGAUUAGCUAGUUGGUGUGGUAAAGGCGCACCAAGGCGACGAUCUUUAGCUGGUCUGAGAGGAUGAUCAGCCACACUGGGACUGAGACACGGCCCAGACUCCUACGGGAGGCAGCAGUGGGGAAUAUUGGACAAUGGGGGCAACCCUGAUCCAGCCAUACCGCGUGUGUGAAGAAGGCCUUCGGGUUGUAAAGCACUUUCAGACAGGAGGAAAAGUUGAUGGUUAAUACCCAUCAGCCGUGACGUUACUGUCAGAAGAAGCACCGGCUAACUCCGUGCCAGCAGCCGCGGUAAUACG
RNAcentral lists this ribosomal RNA (472 nucleotides) under uncultured bacterium. RNAcentral's name for it is "bacterial SSU rRNA". It matches the Rfam family "Bacterial small subunit ribosomal RNA", at positions 56 to 527 of the family's 1533-position model. The record is from RNAcentral.